UGAAUGAGUAGGUGUGUCCAAGCUUUUGACUGGUACUGUAUAUAUAUAUUUUUUUUAAAUAUUUUUUUAUUUGUAUUAUUUUUAAACAUUUAUUUUACAAUCACAAGAGGGCUUUUUGACCAAUCACAAGUGGGGCGCCAACCCUAACACCCUAAUGGGCAGGCAACCCCCGGCUGUCCCCCCCUUCCUCCCCUUCCUCACCCAACUUGGACACGUCCGUCUCUAAUCGCUGGUAACCGGGCUAGUCGCAUGGACAGCUCCAUCACAUUGAAUGAGAAUUGUUCUGGCAGUGAAGAUGAAUGGUCUCAUCAGGGAGAGAUCUCUCAUGUCUGCAAAAUAUAUCCUGUUUCCACCCAGGUAAUCAUCAUCCCUAGCAGCCCUGUCACUAUUACAACUGCUUGAGAAGUGUUACUGGUGUUACUACUGUCUGUCUGUCAGUCAGUCUGUCAGUCUAAUCGCUGCUCCUCCUGGUGCGACCACAACAGUGCCCAAGACAUCAUCCACAGAUCUCAUCAUCUCAGCCUGAUAGGUGUGGCCCACCCGGGGGUAUGCGAGGCAGGUCAUUAGGAAAUGUAAAAUUAGAGAACAUAUGUUAUUUAUAUUUGCUUGUUUGUUUGAACGUUUGAAUAAAUAUGUAUACAUUUUAUAAUACAUUUCA
Molecule: long non-coding RNA, 658 nt
Organism: Salvelinus namaycush (lake trout)
Lineage: Eukaryota; Metazoa; Chordata; Actinopteri; Salmoniformes; Salmonidae
Exons: 2
Source: RefSeq, a predicted model, not a curated record